GCUUAAUCCCAUAGCACCACUAAUCUCUUCUACGAUUCCACAAACACCAAGCCAUAACAGCAAAGAUGACAUCCCACUACAUAUCACAACACCACAAACUGCUGCCACCGCUCACAGUCGGAGCAACAAUAUUGAUAUCACCCAAAUCUAGCCAUUCAAGCUCGCCCACAUCCAGCUGUUUCAAGAUCGCCAUAUCUUUUGCCCAUCGAGAUGAAUCAGUCAUUACUAGUUCCACCCUCUACCAUCGCCAAAAUCUCUACAACAACCAUAGACGAUAAUGAUGGCGGCGGUUGAGGCUGCAGGGCGACGGUGCAGACUGAGCUUGGCUUCGAUGGUGGUGAUUACAAUGGUGGCAUUUUUUGGUUUUUCUCUUAUCGGUUUGUAUUACUAUGUGAUUUUGCUAGUAAUGAGUUCUAUUAUUGAUGGUUUUGUUGUUAUUGAAAUCGUUAUUGUUA
Molecule: long non-coding RNA, 455 nt
Organism: Ricinus communis (castor bean)
Lineage: Eukaryota; Viridiplantae; Streptophyta; Magnoliopsida; Malpighiales; Euphorbiaceae
Exons: 2
Source: RefSeq, a predicted model, not a curated record